RNAcentral lists this unclassified non-coding RNA (348 nucleotides) under soil metagenome. RNAcentral's name for it is "partial contains 5.8S ribosomal RNA, internal transcribed spacer 2, and large subunit ribosomal RNA". The stretch from base 1 to 120 matches the Rfam family "5.8S ribosomal RNA", at positions 35 to 154 of the family's 154-position model. The record is from RNAcentral.
GAUGAAGAACGUAGCGAAAUGCGAUAAGUAAUGUGAAUUGCAGAAUUCAGUGAAUCAUCGAAUCUUUGAACGCACAUUGCGCCCGCCAGUAUUCUGGCGGGCAUGCCUGUCUGAGCGUCAUUUCAACCCUCAUGCCGCUAGGGCGUGGUGUUGGGGAUCGGCCAAAGCCCGCGAGGGACGGCCGGCCCCUAAAUCUAGUGGCGGACCCGUCGUGGCCUCCUCUGCGAAGUAGUGAUAUUCCGCAUCGGAGAGCGACGAGCCCCUGCCGUUAAACCCCCAACUUUCCAAGGUUGACCUCAGAUCAGGUAGGAAUACCCGCUGAACUUAAGCAUAUCAAUAAGCGGAGGA